CCUACGGGGGGCAGCAGUGAGGAAUAUUGGUCAAUGGGCGAGAGCCUGAACCAGCCAAGUCGCGUGAGGGAGUACUGCCCUAUGGGUUGUAAACCUCUUUUGUCGGGGAGCAAAAGCCGGACGUGUCCGGCUGUGAGAGUACCCGAAGAAAAAGCAUCGGCUAACUCCGGGCCAGCAGCCGCGGUAAUACGGAGGAUGCGAGCGUUAUCCGGAUUUAUUGGGUUUAAAGGGUGCGCAGGCGGAUUUUUAAGUCAGCGGUAAAAUCGUGGGGCUCAACCCCAUCCAGCCGUUGAAACUGGGGAUCUAGAGUGUGCGAGAGGUAUGCGGAAUGCGUGGUGUAGCGGUGAAAUGCAUAGAUAUCACGCAGAACCCCGAUUGCGAAGGCAGCAUACCGGUGCACAACUGACGCUCAGGCACGAAAGCGUGGGUAUCGAACAGGAUUAGAUACCCUUGUAGUC
This 458-nucleotide ribosomal RNA is filed under the name uncultured bacterium. RNAcentral's name for it is "partial 16S ribosomal RNA". It matches the Rfam family "Bacterial small subunit ribosomal RNA", at positions 338 to 795 of the family's 1533-position model. The record is from RNAcentral.